This 198-nucleotide ribosomal RNA is filed under the name uncultured bacterium. RNAcentral's name for it is "partial 16S ribosomal RNA". It matches the Rfam family "Bacterial small subunit ribosomal RNA", at positions 328 to 539 of the family's 1533-position model. The record is from RNAcentral.
ACGCUCGACACCUACAGGAGGCAGCAGUGGGGAAUAUUGCACAAUGGGGGAAACCCUGAUGCAGCAACGCCGCGUGAAGGAAGACGGUUUUCGGAUUGUAAACUUCUGUUCUUAGUGAAGAUAGUGACGGUAGCUAAGGAGCAAGCCACGGCUAACUACGUGCUAGCAGCCGCGGUAAUCUGAGCGGGCUGGCAAGGC